CAUGUAGAACCAGGUCUAGGUAGUCCACAUCAUGUAGAACCAGGUCUAGGUAGUCCACUUCAUGUAGAACCAGGUCUAGGUAGUCCACAUCAUGUAGAACCAGGUCUAGGUAAUCCACAUCAUGUAGAACCAGGUCUAGGUAGUCCACAUCAUGUAGAACCAGGUCUAGGUAGUCCACUUCAUGUAGAACCAGGUCUAGGUAGUCCACAUCAUGUAGAACCAGGUCUAGGUAUUCCACAUCAUGUAGAACCAGGUCUAGGUAGUCUACAUCAUGUAGAACCAGGUCUAGGUAGUCCACAUCAUGUAGAACCAGGUCUAGGUAGUCUACAUCAUGUAGAACCAGGUAUAGGUAGUCCACAUCAUGUAGAACCAGGUCUAGGUAGUCCACAUCAUGUAGAACCAGGUCUAGGUAGUCUACAUCAUGUAGAACCAGGUAUAGGUAGUCCACAUCAUGUAGAACCAGGUCUAGGUAUUCCACAUCAUGUAGAACCAGGUCUAGGUAGUCCACAUCAUGUAGAACCAGGUCUAGGUAGUCCACUUCAUG
Pseudoliparis swirei is the source of this 544-nucleotide long non-coding RNA. RefSeq lists it as uncharacterized. Lineage: Eukaryota; Metazoa; Chordata; Actinopteri; Perciformes; Liparidae. The transcript is spliced from 3 exons. The record is from RefSeq and is a predicted model, not a curated record.